This is a long non-coding RNA of Oncorhynchus tshawytscha (Chinook salmon), 883 nucleotides long. Lineage: Eukaryota; Metazoa; Chordata; Actinopteri; Salmoniformes; Salmonidae. The record is from Ensembl.
CCCGUCCACUCAAACGACCCUGCUGGAGCAUGGCUCUGGAGAUGGACACGAAGGGAAAGUCACUUGAAAGCUUAAGAGCUUUUUGAAAGGUCUUUCAGCCUGUUGUGGUGGGAUGGAGUUUUGGCCUGCUUGGUGACAUCACCAGGCGGUAAAUUACUUGAAACAGAGUUCCAAACCUCUCAGUUUCCCCUCCCCACUCAGACCACUCCCAGAAAGUCCUACACUCUAAAAAUGUGGGGUUCAACAAGGGUUCUUCUAAGAGCCUCAAUUCUUUGAAGAACCUUAGGGUUCUUGGCACUGAACAUGGCCCCCAAAAGGUUCUUCCAAUAACCCCAUAGGAGGUGGGGUUCAUCAAGGAACCUUUGUUGGUGAGGGUUCUUGCAGGAACCUAAUUGCCAGACUGAAACAUUUGGAUUUGAAUUUGAUAGGACAGCAGGUACAGGUACUUAACUGAAAAAUGUAAAGAUCUCCUCAAUGUAGAGUAAGGUUGUUCCUUAUAUGAUCUAAAUUGAUAUUGUUUUAUGAUGAUACCAUCUAUCUUUUCAUAUUUGUGCAAAUCUUUCUAAAACAGAAAAUGGCCACAAUUCAAUGGAUAUCAAUCAACGAAGAGGUAUACAGACAAGUAGGCAUACAAAAGACUUCACCCUCCCUACACCUCUGAUGAAUAUAACAGGAAACCUGUUCGAUCACCACGCACUGCAAAAUCAUUCUGGCUAUGGAUACAGAGAACAUCAACACCCCAGAGGAUAUAUCCAUCGGACUUGGGGUUCUGCUGGGAGUUUACCUCAUAUUUGGAUUUUUAAAUUCUGCUUUGCCACUAAAAUCAUAAACACUGAGAACUAAAAUAUUGUGUUAUUGUUGUUGUGCGUAUUAUUAAUAAUCA